GAAUACUUUUGCAGUACCUCGCAAUACUUUGCGUCUCACAAUAUGUUUUGAAUUCCCUCACAAUACUUUUGCGUUACCUAGCAAUACCUAUCUUCUUCCGUUACUUCUGAGCCAUAGCUGUCAUUUUGGCUCAGGCAGCUGCUCCCAGCUCCUUUUAGGUGCCCUGACGUGAAGUUACAUGAGCUGUGUACGGACAGGUGGUCCAUUUCAGACAUGGAGGAGGACAUUGAGGACUUCCUUAAGUCAAGGAAUGUUGCAGAAGAAGAUAUAAACUGAAUGAAAAUGGACAAGAUGAAGAAAGGGCAAAAUAUAUCUCUUCAUAUGGCAACCGCUUGGCAGGAGGGAAGGAAAUACUGACUAAGAAGCAGUUUUAGAUUUGCCAAAAGAUUGCCACAAGACGGAUGAAAAAGGCUGGGUCUCUUGGAGAACCAAGUCGAACCUCUGCUGUGCAGAAUGUUGGUGUAAUGGCAAGACAUAAAAAUUGUAAUGCUAAAAAAAGCACACAGAGGAUAGAGGUUGGGUGGCUGCAUUUCCAAAUGAUGACUUUCAUCAAGUGAGGUCCAAGAAUGGAGGAGGAACUAGGCAUCUGUCUCAGAUUCCUCAGAUGACAGUGAGAUGUACGAAAAGCAUCCCAAAAAACUCAGACGACCUGAUCAACAGAUCCAACUUUGGAUUCCCGCACUGCCACCCCAAGCAGCAGAACACUCAAGUCCAGUGCAACACUCGAUAGCAGAUGAUCUUGCAUCGUUGAGUCCAGUUCAGCAUGUCACACCCAUGUGCAACACAGGGAGUUAUUAUGACAAACUUCAACAGAGAUUUGGCUGAAGAUGGUGUUGAUGACCUUCCUACAACUCUUCUAUGGACAGAAGACCAUUCUGAUGAGACUGGUGCACAACCCCCAGAAGUAUAUGUGGUAAUAGAUUUUUGGUUAUAUUUAAAGUCUAACCUUAUUUGUAGCAUCAUAUAGGUUCAUGUUUUUGUUUUGUUUGUUUUCAUUCCCAUUUUAUAUUCAUGUAAUAUUUCCGCAAAGCCACCAAAUAAGCUCUCAUCGCUCUCAAGCUCAUCGUUACGUAUGUCCGUAUUCAUAUUUCUUUGCUGGACUUUGACAUGACAUAUCUUGAUAUACACAGAUCCAAACAUUGACACAAUG
Long non-coding RNA from Micropterus salmoides (largemouth bass), 1150 nucleotides. RefSeq lists it as uncharacterized. NCBI's taxonomy places the organism in Eukaryota, Metazoa, Chordata, Actinopteri, Centrarchiformes, Centrarchidae. The record is from RefSeq and is a predicted model, not a curated record. The transcript has 4 exons.